UACGGGGGGUGCAAACGUUGCUCGGAAUUAUUGGGCGUAAAGCGCACGUAGGCGGUCCUGUAAGUCGGGUGUGAAAGCCCCAGGCUUAACCUGGGAAGUGCACUCGAAACUGAAUGGCUUGAAUGCAAAAGAGGGUCGCGGAAUUCCCGGUGUAGAGGUGAAAUUCGUAGAUAUCGGGAGGAACACCGGUGGCGAAGGCGGCGACCUGGGUUGACAUUGACGCUGAGGCGCGAAAGCGUGGGGAGCAAACAGG
Molecule: ribosomal RNA, 253 nt
Filed under: uncultured bacterium
Lineage: Bacteria
Description: partial 16S ribosomal RNA
Rfam family: Bacterial small subunit ribosomal RNA
Source: RNAcentral